ACUCACCAAAUUCUCUAUAGAUCAUUACACUCCAUCACGACGACACCAUCCUGAAUCACCUAGUAGUGUGGUUUCCUCCCUUCUACCCUUUCCGAUCUCACUUCUCUCAUUAGAACUCUCCAUCUUUCUUUCAACUUCUUCUCCGGUGGGAUUUUAUCCACUCUUGCUAACCUACCUGUGGCUAUGAGCCUUUACCUCCACCACAACAACCUCACCAGGAAAAUCCCCAGGUGGGAUCCCUGCUAAACAAGGGUCCCAAUGAAUUUUUUGGAGACCGUGGACUUUGUGGCCUCUCUUUGCAAAUCGCAUGCCCUGAAGCGCAAAAGCCUGGGAUUUUUACUAACCUUAAAAAAGGUUUCCCUCAAAACCCCAAUGCGCUCCACCCUGAAGGCUUAUACCAGAGAGUGAAACCACACGGUGGUGGCUUCGUCGCGGUUCUUGUCAUCUUUGGGCUUCGAGUUGCGGUUGGAAAAAUUUCUCUCUCAUUGUGGGCUUUUGGAUGACGGUGGGGUGGUGACGACGAGGGCAAAUUGGGGGCCAGUAGUUGGAGGGUUAGGUGGAUGUGUGUGAAGGGCAAGAUGGUAAAUUUGUUGUGGUGGACAAAAGGUUUAAGGUGGAGUUGGAGGAUUUGCAUAGUGUGUUUACAUAUGUUGCUGGAAAGAGUAGGAGUGGGAUUGUGUACAAGGUAGUCGGGGUCGGAAGAGAGUCUUCCAUUAUGUUAAAUGUGGUGGGUAUUCAGCGACUCAAUGAGGGUGACGUCAAGUGGUCUAUAAUGGAAGCCAUUGCAAGGUUCGUUUCCCCAAUAUGGUUGCCUUGCAAGCUUCUUAUCACCGAUUUCAUUCGCAAUGGAAGCUUGUAGAAACAUGUCUAGUUAGUAUUAGUUUGUAUCUAACAACUUGUAAGCAGGAAAAGGAUAUGAUGGAAGAUGAUACUAAGAAUGGAAGUUCAUAAGUGGAGAUAAAAGUUUUGUUUUUGCUAGAGCACGUUAUCUCACUCGCUUGAGUGAGAUGCUGCUGGAGGUGCCAUGUAGAAGUACUAAUGAUUGUUUGAAAAAAGCUUGUUGUGAAGUUUCCAGGUUUGAAGAAAUCAAAGGGUGUAUGGUCUUUGCUCUAAAUGAGAAGUAUACAACUGAGUCAAGCAUUGUUAAAGACACAAAUGAGUUGGCAAUAAUACCUCCAAUUAGAGGUGGUUGAACAACUUAAUAUCAUUACAAGAAUUCCACCUAUACACUAUUCGCGCUUCCACCUCGAUAAAAAAGAACCUCCACACACACCAAUUGUCACUGCCACACUCGCCGAUUAGAGUCGAUGUUGUUUCCAUUGUUGGCUUGUUGGUUUAACAGAGCUCCUAAGGAGGUUUCACUCCAGAAGGUCGUCAUGACAUAUUUGUUGCUGCAGCUGGACGGUCUGAGCACCCUAGACGUGUGCGUGGUGCUGGAUCAGGAGUUAGCAUACACCAAUAUUUUGGUGCCUCCUCUCAUCAGUCUUCAUGUAGACACACUAUUGAUUAUGAAGAAAGACUGACGCAAGAAAUAACUAAGGAGGUGACUGAUAAUGUUAUGCGCUAGUUCCAACAACAAUUCGAGAGUUAUGGCAUUCGUUCGCACUUAUCUUCUCCAACAGAACCAUUUAUGCCUCCCACGGAAGCUUGAAGGGGAUUUGUUCAACUCCACCCAUACCAAGGGAUGACAUGGACGACACUCAUUCAUGUCAGCUAAAUAUUCGCGAUGGUACAUUAAAGACACUAGUGGCUCAUGGAAAAGUAUUUGAGGCAGCCAUAAUUCUUCAUGGUAUAGAGUUAUCGGAGGAUGAGGUUAAGGUCACGAUAGAAGAGGUUCUUGUUUCUUGUGCCAACAAAUAAGGUAUAUACGAUGACAGAGGCAUUCCAAUGUUUCCUCACUUGGCCUAGAGAUUUAGUUGAUUCUAAUUCUGACCCCCCGAUAUAGACUCUCAAACCCACCAUAUACUAAAUUUUUAAGUUUACAUGCUAAUUAUAUUCAACCUUAAAUUGUAUUCCAUUUAAACUUAGUUGCAUCGACAGGAAAAUCCUCAACCAAAGAAGAUUCCUCUCUCUUUGGACGAUCCUCUUGGUGCAUUACACCAACUCGAUGAAAUCAUCAUUGAUAAGUUGAUGCAGGUUCCUUAGGAUUCUAAUAUUUUUUGGAGAGACCUUGAGAUUCCACUAUACUUGCAUAUAGAAGAUGUCUUGGAGCUUGCAUCAGGACAAGAUGAACUGAAUAUUACCAUUAUUCAAUUAUGGAUGAUAUAAGCCUUUUAGUUAUUACUGUUAUUUGAUUUUUUUUUUUCAUCUAUUCACUUAUAUCAAAUCAAUUUUGUGUUUAAGUAUAUGUGUGGUGUCGCUGAAAAUACAGGGUUGAGUGAUGUAUAUUGGUUUACAAACCCCCGACUCACUCAUGAAGGCAACAAGUUUGACGACACCCAAGCAUAUAUGACCAAAUUUUUUCAAUGGGGUAAAGAAAUUUAUUUUGUCCCUUAUAUUGUUGGCUACUUGUGGGUUCCUUGGGGGAGAACCUUGUUGUGUGGUUUUGCUCCUUGCACCUCCCUCCCCCCAGCCAUCUUAGACAAGUAAUAGAUUGUUCAAUUGUUGGACAUAACAUGUUGGUAGGGAGAUCAACGACUAAGGCAAAAAAUCUUGUGUGGUUAUCCCUCCAGACAUUCAAGAGUACUGCACCAAUUCUCGCAAAGUCCAUAAAGUUUGGUAGGAUAAUUUGUGCUAAAUUUAUAAUUCAAAUGUACGAUAAUGUUAAUUAGGAUAUUCACUUGUUGUAACUAAAGACUUUUAUAUGUAUUUAGACAUUGGAUGAUGUUGGGU
Molecule: long non-coding RNA, 2832 nt
Organism: Vigna unguiculata (cowpea)
Lineage: Eukaryota; Viridiplantae; Streptophyta; Magnoliopsida; Fabales; Fabaceae
Source: RefSeq, a predicted model, not a curated record